CGGGAUGUAGCGCAGUGGUAGCGCACCACGUUCGGGACGUGGGGGUCGUUGGUUCAAGUCCAAUCAUCCCGACCA
RNAcentral lists this transfer RNA (75 nucleotides) under Leptonema illini. RNAcentral describes it as "tRNA-Pro". It matches the Rfam family "tRNA". Rfam says of the family: Transfer RNA (tRNA) molecules are approximately 80 nucleotides in length. Their secondary structure includes four short double-helical elements and three loops (D, anti-codon, and T loops). Lineage: Bacteria; Pseudomonadati; Spirochaetota; Leptospiria; Leptospirales; Leptospiraceae. RNAcentral also lists the same sequence under 2 other names. The record is from RNAcentral.